UACAGAGGGUGCGAGCGUUGUCCGGAAUCACUGGGCGUAAAGGGCGCGUAGGUGGCCCGACAAGUCUGUGGUGAAAGCUCGACGCUCAACGUCGAGUCGGCCAUAGAUACUGUUGGGCUGGAGCACUGUAGAGGCUCAUGGAAUUCCGGGUGUAGCGGUGGAAUGCGUGAGAGAUCCGGAAGAACACCGGUGGCGAAGGCGGUGAGCUGGGCAGUAGCUGACACUGAGGCGCGACAGCGUGGGGAGCA
This 248-nucleotide ribosomal RNA is filed under the name uncultured bacterium. RNAcentral describes it as "partial 16S ribosomal RNA". It matches the Rfam family "Bacterial small subunit ribosomal RNA", at positions 524 to 770 of the family's 1533-position model. The record is from RNAcentral.